RNAcentral lists this ribosomal RNA (472 nucleotides) under uncultured bacterium. Its description in RNAcentral is "bacterial SSU rRNA". It matches the Rfam family "Bacterial small subunit ribosomal RNA", at positions 1 to 520 of the family's 1533-position model. The record is from RNAcentral.
GGAUCCAGACUUUGAUUCUGGCUCAGAACGAACGCUGGCGGCAGGCCUAACACAUGCAAGUCGAGCGCUCACUUCGGUGGGAGCGGCGGACGGGUUAGUAACGCGUGGGAACGUGCCCAGAUCUAAGGAAUAGCCACUGGAAACGGUGAGUAAUACCUUAUACGCCCUUCGGGGGAAAGAUUUAUCGGAUUUGGAUCGGCCCGCGUUAGAUUAGAUAGUUGGUGGGGUAAUGGCCUACCAAGUCUACGAUCUAUAGCUGGUUUUAGAGGAUGAUCAGCAACACUGGGACUGAGACACGGCCCAGACUCCUACGGGAGGCAGCAGUGGGGAAUCUUGGACAAUGGGGGCAACCCUGAUCCAGCCAUGCCGCGUGAGUGAUGAAGGCCUUAGGGUCGUAAAGCUCUUUCGCCAGGGAUGAUAAUGACAGUACCUGGUAAAGAAACCCCGGCUAACUCCGUGCCAGCAGCCGCGG